UUUGGACAAAUUUGGCACUUCUCUCUGUUGUAACAAAUAUGUUGCUCCCAACGUUACAGGUGUGAUCAGGUACCAUGUCACUAUGCUUGCAACUACGGCAACGAUAGUGACAUAUGUGGUCUUCAACAGGGAGAUGACCAAGCUCACUAAGCAAGAUGCUGCUGCUCUGGCUCUCGAGGGAGUUCAGUUUUUGGUUUUACACUUCAUUUGACCCAUGUUUAGAACUGUAACAAGCACUAAAUGUUUCUCAAACGUACUAUAGAUAAAUGGCGGUGGAGGGCAAGAACUACCAAGAUGUCGGGAAAAGCUUGCUGGCAAGGAAUAGGUUUUUCAGAUACGUGCCGCUCCAUACAAUUUUAUCCCUAACUACCGUGUCUGCAGUCAGUGACAAUAGCUUCUUUAGCACCCACACCGAGAGUAUCAGCAGCUUCAAAGCUUCAGUUAUUGGAGGGGAAGGUAGAGAAACUACAGCUUCUGCAAGCAACACGGUUCCAGCGGCUAAGAUAGAAAUCGGAGGCGAUGAAGCAAAUCUGGCAGGUUUUCAAGGCAAAGAUAAUAGCCGCAAACGCCCCUAAGUGAUAGUUUCAAUUCCAUCAAUGUUCAUACAUUUAAGUUUUUUAAAUUCUUAUGUUUUUAUCUAUUUUGAGCUUUGGUUUUUCCCUUUUAUUUUCGGCAAAAUACCUCCCACCAGAAGGAUAGUAACUAAGAUUUUAUAUA
Brassica oleracea var. oleracea is the source of this 717-nucleotide long non-coding RNA. RefSeq lists it as uncharacterized. Lineage: Eukaryota; Viridiplantae; Streptophyta; Magnoliopsida; Brassicales; Brassicaceae. The record is from RefSeq and is a predicted model, not a curated record. The transcript has 3 exons.